RNAcentral lists this unclassified non-coding RNA (198 nucleotides) under fungal sp. RNAcentral describes it as "partial internal transcribed spacer region". The stretch from base 1 to 46 matches the Rfam family "Eukaryotic small subunit ribosomal RNA", at positions 1786 to 1831 of the family's 1831-position model. The record is from RNAcentral. Lineage: Eukaryota; Fungi.
AAGUCGUAACAAGGUUUCCGUAGGUGAACCUGCGGAAGGAUCAUAGCGAAUCUGAAUAACAUCAUUUUAACCUGUGAAGUGGCAUCAGAGCAGUAGUGCAUCGCACUGCUGCCUCCUAUGCUUGUACCCACACAUUUACUCACCUGUCUUACAACGUAAAUAUUUACAAAACUCCUAGCAAUGGAUCUCUUGGCUUCU